RNAcentral lists this small RNA (899 nucleotides) under uncultured zygomycete. Its description in RNAcentral is "eukaryotic LSU rRNA". The stretch from base 615 to 899 matches the Rfam family "Eukaryotic large subunit ribosomal RNA", at positions 1 to 281 of the family's 3401-position model. Lineage: Eukaryota; Fungi. The record is from RNAcentral.
CUUGGUCAUUUAGAGGAAGUAAAAGUCGUAACAAGGUUUCCGUAGGUGAACCUGCGGAAGGAUCAUUCAUAAUAAGUGUUUAUGGCACUUCUUAAAUCCAUAUCCACCUUGUGUGCAAUGUCAGCCGUUUUCUUUAUGAAAGCGGCCAAACAUCAACUUAUUUUUUAACUGUCUGUCUGAAAACUAUUAUGAAUAAACAAUUCAAAUACAACUUUCGACAACGGAUCUCUUGGCUCUCGCAUCGAUGAAGAACGCAGCGAAAUGCGAUACGUAAUGUGAAUUGCAGAAUUCAGUGAAUCAUCGAAUCUUUGAACGCAUAUUGCGCUCUUUGGUAUUCCGAAGAGCAUGCUUGUUUGAGUAUCAGUAAACACCUCAAAGCCUUCAAUUCAGUUUGAAAGCUUUGGACUUGAGCAAUCCCAACAUCAGUCUCGCGACUAACGGAGGGCUGCUUGAAAUGCAGGUGCAGCUGGACAUUCUUCUGAGCUAUAAGCAUAUUUAUUUAGUCCCGUCAAACGGAUUAUUACUUUUGCUGCAGCUAACAUAAAGGGAGUCUGACCGUAUUGGCUGACUGAUGCAGGAUUUCACAAGGGCUGGCAACAGCUUCUUGUAAAACUCGAUCUCAAAUCAAGUAAGACUACCCGCUGAACUUAAGCAUAUCAAUAAGCGGAGGAAAAGAAACUAACAAGGAUUCCCCCAGUAACGGCGAGUGAAGCGGGAUGAGCUCAAAUUUAAAAUCUGGCUGGUUUACUAGUCCGAAUUGUAGUUUAUAGAAGCGUUUUCGGUGGCAGCCUGGGUAUAAAUCCUUUGGAAUAGGGUAUCAUAGAGGGUGAGAAUCCCGUCUUUGACUCAGUGCAUGCUACUAUGUGAUACGUUUUCAAAGAGUCGAGUUGUUUGGGAAU